UACGUAGGGGGCAAGCGUUGUCCGGAUUUAUUGGGCGUAAAGCGCUCGCGGGUGGUUCAUUGCGUCGUGCGUGAAAGACCCCGGCUCAACUGGGGAGGGUCGUGCGAAACGGGUGAACUAGAGGCCAGUAGGGGGAUGCGGAAUUCCGGGUGUAGUGGUGGAAUGCGUAGAGAUCCGGAGGAACACCAGCGGCGAAGGCGGCAUCCUGGACUGGUCCUGACACUCAGGAGCGAAAGCGUGGGGAGCGAUCCGG
Molecule: ribosomal RNA, 253 nt
Filed under: uncultured bacterium
Lineage: Bacteria
Description: partial 16S ribosomal RNA
Rfam family: Bacterial small subunit ribosomal RNA
Source: RNAcentral